This 583-nucleotide ribosomal RNA is filed under the name Hanseniaspora uvarum. Its description in RNAcentral is "partial large subunit ribosomal RNA". It matches the Rfam family "Eukaryotic large subunit ribosomal RNA", at positions 54 to 651 of the family's 3401-position model. The record is from RNAcentral. Lineage: Eukaryota; Fungi; Ascomycota; Saccharomycetes; Saccharomycodales; Saccharomycodaceae.
AGGAAAAGAAACCAACUGGGAUUACCUUAGUAACGGCGAGUGAAGCGGUAAAAGCUCAAAUUUGAAAUCUGGUACUUUCAGUGCCCGAGUUGUAAUUUGUAGAAUUUGUCUUUGAUUAGGUCCUUGUCUAUGUUCCUUGGAACAGGACGUCAUAGAGGGUGAGAAUCCCGUUUGGCGAGGAUACCUUUUCUCUGUAAGACUUUUUCGAAGAGUCGAGUUGUUUGGGAAUGCAGCUCAAAGUGGGUGGUAAAUUCCAUCUAAAGCUAAAUAUUGGCGAGAGACCGAUAGCGAACAAGUACAGUGAUGGAAAGAUGAAAAGAACUUUGAAAAGAGAGUGAAAAAGUACGUGAAAUUGUUGAAAGGGAAGGGCAUUUGAUCAGACAUGGUGUUUUUUGCAUGCACUCGCCUCUCGUGGGCUUGGGCCUCUCAAAAAUUUCACUGGGCCAACAUCAAUUCUGGCAGCAGGAUAAAUCAUUAAGAAUGUAGCUACUUCGGUAGUGUUAUAGCUUUUUGGAAUACUGUUAGCCGGGAUUGAGGACUGCGCUUCGGCAAGGAUGUUGGCAUAAUGGUUAAAUGCCGCCCG